ACGCAAUGGCUCAAGGGUCAAGAUAAUUUUAUGACCAUCAAUCUUUUUGCAGCCACAUGCAGACUUGAAAAACUGGUCGUGGCCCUAAGGAACUUGAAAAUUAGAAAAGAUUCAGAAUGAUUGACUAAAUAUUAUAAUCGAAACUAAUUAAACAUACAUGCCUAGAAAAUCUAAAACUGAAUUUCUCAAAUGUAUAUGCCUCUUCGCAGCAAUUGCUUAUGGUGGAAACUUUACUGCAAAGACUUUCUCAAACCCUUGAAGAUCACACUCUACCUGAUAACAAAGAAACAGAGUCAAUAAACGAAGAUGAUUUUACUAACAAGUGAGAGCUUACACAUAAUAUCAUGCAAUAUAUAUUAGUACCUUAAUAUCAUGCAAUAAAAAUCAUCAUGCCUUCCAGGCAGCUAUCCAUCCUCAAUUGAAACAGAGCAGACCUGGCCAUCACUUUCUUCUUCAAAGUCCAGCAACUGAACGUUGCACACAACACCACAGUGGAAGUAGUUCCAUCACCAGCCUAAUCCUUGAUUACCCCAAUGUUCUCCAUAGGGUCUUCAAAGUCAACCUAAAAAUAAAAUGAAAAUGCAAUGCAUUAUUAUUAGGGAUCUAGUGCUUGAGCUUGCUUUGACAUCAUGGUAUUAGCAAAUUCUGAUAUAGCCAAAAUGGUGAAUAAGAUGAUGUACUUGAUAAGAAAAACCUGAUUUAACAAAUAAUUAAGAAGCCGGUAACAAUCACAUAAUCUCAUCAUGUGGGGAAUGCCUUGGCAACAGAAGAUGGUGCUUUCAUUCAAGCAAUAGCAACUUUCCAAUUUCAUAAGGUAGUUUAAUGGCCCUUUUAAGAACAUCUGUACCAGCCUAACAAUUAUUCAUGGAAAUUAAAAUUCAGAAUCAUAUUAGAUUGAGAGAUGAAAUAUAAUAAGCGAUUUGGCCACCAUAUAUGCAUUUAUCACCUUCAAUUUGCUCAUCUUUGUCUAGAGUAUUGCUUCUGCAUUAACUUAAUUAGCUUGCAAGCCACCUACAAAUGGUUUUAAAUUAUGUGUGAGAGUGUGAAUUCGAACGAAUGAAUCAAAUAUGCUGACAGGAGAAACAAAAGUAAAUAACCACAAGAAGUAGAAAUAUACUUUUGUUAUAUUCAGAGCAUCUUCUUGCGUCAAGUUCUUUUCCUUUAGCUCUGUUUCUGUUUGUGCUCAAACGCAAUGGCUCAAGGGUCAAGAUAAUUUUAUGACCAUCAAUCUUUUUGCAGCCACAUGCGGACUUGAAAAACAGGUCGUGGCCCUAAGGAACUUGAAAAUUAGAAAAGAUUCAUAAUGAGUGACUAAAUAUUAUAAUCGAAACUAAUUAAACAUACACGCCUAGAAAAUCUGAAACUGAACUUCUCAAAUGUAUAUGCCUCUUCGCAGCAAUUGCUUGUGG
RNAcentral lists this long non-coding RNA (1409 nucleotides) under Citrus sinensis (sweet orange). RNAcentral describes it as "long non-coding RNA (CSIN_LNC005255)". Lineage: Eukaryota; Viridiplantae; Streptophyta; Magnoliopsida; Sapindales; Rutaceae. The record is from RNAcentral.